Molecule: ribosomal RNA, 502 nt
Filed under: uncultured bacterium
Lineage: Bacteria
Description: partial 16S ribosomal RNA
Rfam family: Bacterial small subunit ribosomal RNA
Source: RNAcentral
GACGAACGCUGGCGGCGUGCCUAAUACAUGCAAGUCGAACGAACCGCGACUAAGUGCUUGCACUAAGUCAAGGUGAGUGGCGAACGGGUGAGUAACACGUGGGUAACCUACCUCAUAGUGGGGGAUAACAGUCGGAAACGACUGCUAAUACCGCAUAGGACAUAGGAUCACAUGAUCCAGUGAGGAAAGGUGGCGCAAGCUAUCGCUAAGAGAUGGACCCGCGGUGCAUUAGCUAGUUUGUAGGGUAAAGGCCUACCAAGGCGAUGAUGCAUAGCCGACCUGAGAGGGUGAACGGCCACAUUGGGACUGAGACACGGCCCAAACUCCUACGGGAGGCAGCAGUAGGGAAUCUUCCGCAAUGGACGCAAGUCUGACGGAGCAACGCCGCGUGAGUGAAGAAGGUCUUCGGAUCGUAAAGCUCUGUUGUUAGAGAAGAACAGCGCAUAGAGUAACUGCUAUGCGUGUGACGGUAUCUAACCAGAAAGCCACGGCUAACUACGUG